This 376-nucleotide ribosomal RNA is filed under the name uncultured bacterium. RNAcentral describes it as "bacterial SSU rRNA". It matches the Rfam family "Bacterial small subunit ribosomal RNA", at positions 29 to 396 of the family's 1533-position model. The record is from RNAcentral.
AACGAACGCUGGCGGCGUGCUUAACACAUGCAAGUCGAACGUGAAAGGCUUCGGCCGAGUAAAGUGGCGCACGGGUGAGUAACGCGUGGGUAAUCUGCCCUUGGGCGGGGGAUAACCUCUCGAAAGGGGGGCGUAAUACCGCAUGAGACCACGGCUUUUCGGGGCUGUGGGAAAAGGUGGGUCGCAAGGCCUGCCACCUGAGGAUGAGCCCGCGUACCAUUAGGUUGUUGGUGGGGUAAUGGCCUACCAAGCCGAAGAUGGUUAGCUGGUCUGAGAGGACGAUCAGCCACACUGGGACUGAGACACGGCCCAGACUCCUACGGGAGGCAGCAGUGGGGAAUAUUGCGCAAUGGGGGGAAACCCUGACGCAGCAACG